Heterocephalus glaber (naked mole-rat) is the source of this 2197-nucleotide long non-coding RNA. Lineage: Eukaryota; Metazoa; Chordata; Mammalia; Rodentia; Bathyergidae. The record is from Ensembl.
CCCCCCGCCCCCGCAGCCCACAGCUCCGCCCUUCCUCUCCUCCUAUCCUCCCAAUAAGGAAGCCGGGGCGCGGGAACUGGCUGGACCCGCCCAGGCGAACUCGGGGUCCCCGGGGCAUCGGGGAUGGCGCCCGGCCUGCGCCUGUCGCCCCCCCCCCCACGCCAAGGUCAAGGUCAAGGUCAAGAUGCAGAUUUAUUUCUGUUUGCGGUUGGUAGAAUCCUCGCAUGUGAAACUCGCAGGUACUGGGGCCCGCUGGACACUUGGACCUCGCACUGUGGUCCUGGCAGCAGUGAACAACAGUGAAUUAGCGCAAGAAACAACGUAGAGAAGGAGCGAAGAUCUAGGAACCUAAACAGGGCAGAGUUUAGGAGCCCAGAGCUCAGAAGCCUCCAGAAACCGCUGCUUCCCUAGGGUGGAAGAACGAUGGAGACCACUGCGAGAGGAAGAAGGAUGGAGGUAACACCAGCCAGCAGCAGACAGGGCUGAGGAUGCCCGGAGGCUCCCUUCCUCCUCGCUGGCUCCGGUCAUGGCCUCCCAUUGGCCGGCCUUACCGGAAUUGGUUGCAAGGCAGCCUGGGAAAUGUAGUCCCGAGCCCGGCUGCAGUGUGGCAAAGCAAGGAGCAGAGUGAUGCCAACAGGAAAUGCCAGCCAGGCUCGCUACGGUGGGGCGCGGUGGGGAUGGGACGCCCCGCCCUACCCGAAGGUGUCAGCUCACGUCUUGGUCUGAUCUGCACAGCAAUGGAGGGAGAGCAACAAGGGGAAGACUCUGCCACCCUUUCCCAGCAGGAGGAGACAGCAGGACAAUGACCUAUGCUCUGGGCCCCACCCUUGACCUUCCUGGCGCACCGUUCUCGGUGGCCCUACCAUCUGAGCUGGAACUCAGACUCCCUGUUAGCAAGAGCAAAGCUCCCGCCCCGUGGGGAGGAGACAGUCACGCCGCAGCUGCAGGUCCCGGUCCCACGCCCUUCCACCAUGCCGCCCUGUUGUGUGCGUCACUCGUCACUCGCUCCAUGCUUUUCCCAGCCCCCAAAGACAGGCGCCGAGGGUAUUCCCAGAAAACCCAGAAAAAAUUACAGCCAAAAAAAACGUGCCGCAGGUGUCCCCCUGUAACCGAAUCAAGUCAAAGUCCUGAAACAGAGAACUGAGAACCUCCCAGAAGGUCUGGGUGUGCGGCUUAUCUGCUUCAGGCUAAAUUAGACCUGCAGGCCCCCAUCAUUUCCCUAAGUGAUGUAGAUCUUUAAAAAACAAGCUUCUGUAUGUUUGCUAUGUACAAAAUCAUACAGCAUCACUGUACCUGCUUUCAUUUAAUAAUUCCCAGAAUUCAAUAUUGUAAGAGUUUCAUGUGGCAUUGUAUUUCAGAGGAAGAAAUGGAGGAUCAGAGAGGUAGGGCAACCUACCCUGGGACACAAAGCUUGUCAAUGAGCUAUUCCCCCCACGAUGGAGGAACCAAUGUCAGGUGUGCAUGCUCAUGGUGUCUGAAUAACCCCGGUAUCGUCCAAGCCACCGUCCAUGUCAUCACAAUGGGCAGUUGUCACGAGACAGAGUCAGAACACACCCACAGGGGUAAAGUGGAAGGGCAGAUGUCUGUCUGGCUCCCCCUGCCUUUCUUAGUGAAAAUGUCACAUCAUGAAGGGUCUGCAGAGCUCUCCAGCCCAGCCCCAGGUCACAUGCAAUCCUGGAGGAGCCAGGUGACUUGGCCAAGGCCACACAGCUGGUGAGGUGGAACCCACCCCAGCCCAGGUACAGCUGCAAGCCUGUUUCUUAGCCUGUUUCCUCUCUGCCCAUGUCUGCCACAGAGUUUCAGUGGUUCAAACCCAGAGGGCCAGGUGGGGAGGGUUUAGUUUUCACAUCUUCACAGGCUACUGGCUCAAUUUUUACUCUUGAACUAAAAGUGGAAAAUUAUUGUUUGCUUUAAGACAUGGCUAUCUCUCUUCCCACCUCAAAUGCAUUAGCACCUUGCUGUCCCACCAAAAAAUAAAAUAAUUAUUCUACCAGUCAAGAAAAAGAGGUAGCUGUGUUUCCUGCUCCUGGAUGGAUGAUUCCAAGAACAGGCAAUGAUAUCUUCAUGGACCAAUAGGAAAGGGGUAGCCCCACCCCAGCCUGGCUCCAUGGCACAGGCAAAGGUGGGGGAUGCCUGCUCGGUCCCCAGCUGCACUCCAGGGCCCCAAGUUCCAUCCUUCCACAGGGAGCUGCACCCU